UACGGGAGGCAGCAGUGGGGAAUAUUGCACAAUGGGCGCAAGCCUGAUGCAGCCAUGCCGCGUGUAUGAAGAAGGGCCUUCGGGUUGUAAAGUACUUUCAGUCGUGAGGAAGGUGUUAAGGUUAAUAACCUUAGCAAUUGACGUUAGCGACAGAAGAAGCACCGGCUAACUCCGUGCCAGCAGCCGCGGUAAUACGGAGGGUGCGAGCGUUAAUCGGAAUUACUGGGCGUUAAAGGGCACGCAGGCAGUUAAUUAAGUUGGAUGUGAAAUCCCCGGGCUUAACCUGGGAAUGGCAUUCAAGACUGGUUAGCUAGAGUCUUGUAGAGGGGGUAGAAUUCCAUGUGUAGCGGUGAAUGCGUAGAGAUGUGGAGGAAUACCGGUGGCGAAGGCGGCCCCUGGGACAAAGACUGACGCUCAUGUGCGAAAGCGUGGGGAGCAAACGAGGAUUAGGAUACC
Molecule: ribosomal RNA, 456 nt
Filed under: uncultured bacterium
Lineage: Bacteria
Description: bacterial SSU rRNA
Rfam family: Bacterial small subunit ribosomal RNA
Source: RNAcentral